RNAcentral lists this ribosomal RNA (710 nucleotides) under Saksenaea oblongispora. RNAcentral describes it as "eukaryotic LSU rRNA". It matches the Rfam family "Eukaryotic large subunit ribosomal RNA", at positions 42 to 645 of the family's 3401-position model. The record is from RNAcentral. Lineage: Eukaryota; Fungi; Mucoromycota; Mucoromycetes; Mucorales; Saksenaeaceae.
AUCAAUAAGCGGAGGAAAAGAAACUAACAAGGAUUCCCCUAGUAACGGCGAGUGAACAGGGAACAAGCUCAAAGUUGGAAUCUAUCUGGCUUAGCCAGAUCGAGUUGUAAACUUUAGAGUCGUUAUCCAGAUCAGCCGAGUAAAUAAGUUCCUUGGAAUAGGACAUCAUGGAGGGUGAGAAUCCCGUCUUUGGCUUGAGCAUUGAUCUUUUGUGAUGCGGCUUCAACGAGUCAGGUUGUUUGGGAAUGCAGCCUUAAUUGGGUGGUAAAUCUCACCUAAAGCUAAAUAUUGGCGAGAGACCGAUAGCGAACAAGUACCGUGAGGGAAAGAUGAAAAGAACUUUGAAAAGAGAGUUAAACAGUAUGUGAAAUUGCUGAAAGGGAACCGUUUGAAGCCAGUCUGGCUGGUCUGCAAUCAACUUCAGUUUUUACUGGAGUGCACUUGUAGGCCGUUUGCCUGCCAACAACAGUUUAUUCUGUAGCAAAAAGGUGCUGAGAAUGUGGCUUGCCUUCGGGUAAGUGUUAUAGCUCGGUACGAAAUACUACGGUUUAGACUGAGGAUCGCAGUGAAUGCUUUUUGGCUUUGGAAGUGGGUUGCUCAGAUUUUACCAAGUUAGUUUCGGCCGUAAAAAAGUCGUGCUGGUUUGUUGAGGUCUGACUCGGCUUGCUUGCUUUUAAUUCACUUUGGUUGUUGGCGUAAUGGCUUUCAAU